GACGAACGCUGGCGGCGUGCUUAACACAUGCAAGUCGAACGAAGAGCGAUGGAAGCUUGCUUCUAUCAAUCUUAGUGGCGAACGGGUGAGUAACGCGUAAUCAACCUGCCCUUCAGAGGGGGACAACAGUUGGAAACGACUGCUAAUACCGCAUACGAUCUAAUCUCGGCAUCGAGGAUAGAUGAAAGGUGGCCUCUACAUGUAAGCUAUCACUGAAGGAGGGGAUUGCGUCUGAUUAGCUAGUUGGAGGGGUAACGGCCCACCAAGGCGAUGAUCAGUAGCCGGUCUGAGAGGAUGAACGGCCACAUUGGGACUGAGACACGGCCCAGACUCCUACGGGAGGCAGCAGUGGGGAAUCUUCCGCAAUGGACGAAAGUCUGACGGAGCAACGCCGCGUGAGUGAUGACGGCCUUCGGGUUGUAAAGCUCUGUUAAUCGGGACGAAAGGCCUUCUUGCGAAUAGUUAGAAGGAUGACGGUACC
This 481-nucleotide ribosomal RNA is filed under the name Veillonella parvula. Its description in RNAcentral is "bacterial SSU rRNA". It matches the Rfam family "Bacterial small subunit ribosomal RNA", at positions 28 to 479 of the family's 1533-position model. The record is from RNAcentral. Lineage: Bacteria; Bacillati; Bacillota; Negativicutes; Veillonellales; Veillonellaceae.